This is a non-coding RNA of Oryza sativa Japonica Group (Japanese rice), 1474 nucleotides long. NCBI's taxonomy places the organism in Eukaryota, Viridiplantae, Streptophyta, Magnoliopsida, Poales, Poaceae. The record is from RefSeq and is a predicted model, not a curated record.
UCUCGUCUCCUCCCUUCGCUUGCAAUCGCUUCGUCUCGCUCCCAUCCCUCCCUCCCCCGCGUCCAGCUCAGAGAUGAGCUCUCCCACCUGUACGCGCGAAUCUAGAACCUUCUAGAUCCUCUCCCCUUCCCGAUCCGCCCGCCUCGCCUCGUCUCCCGCCCCACCCCGAUCCGAUCCCCCGAAGGUCUCGGGGUUGGGGGGGGGGGGGGGCGAAUCCUGAUGGCGGCGCACGGCGGUGGCGGCGUGGAGGAGGAUCAGGCGGGGUCGAGCUCGCUGUGCCCACCUGCUGCGGAGGCAGAGGCGGCGGCUGCGGCGGCGGCGAUAGCGAGGGCGGCGCGGCCUCCGAGGCCGGGCAGGGACAAGAGGCUCGGCGUGCGGCACCCGCUGAAGCACCGGAGGUUCCGCGCGGGGGGCAAGGCGGCGGUGGCGGCCGGCGCUAGGGAGGUCGGGGAGGCGACCACCGUGGCGGAGGCGACGGCGACGGGGCCUCCGAAGGGGAGCGACGAGGAUGACGAGGCUAGGUACAUUUGCGGCGGAUGGACGAGUGAUGAUGGAAGAAUGAGUUGUGGAUACUCAAGCUUUAGAGGGAGAAGAGCAAACAUGGAAGACUUCUAUGACAUAAAAUCAUCAAAAGUUGAUGAUAACCAAAUAAACCUCUUUGGAAUAUUUGAUGGUCAUGGUGGUUCACAUGCUGCUGAGCAUUUAAAGAAGCACUUAUUUGAAAAUCUUCUGAAACAUCCGUCAUUCAUCACUGAUACAAAAUCAGCAAUAAGUAUGAUGUGAGACCUACAGAAAAACUGACUCUGAUUUCUUGGAUGCUGAGACUAAUAUUAAUAGAGAGGAUGGGUCAACUGCAUCAACAGCAAUUUUCGUUGGUAACCAUAUCUAUGUGGCAAAUGUUGGUGACUCACGAACUGUGAUGUCAAAGGCUGGCAAAGCUAUUGCACUCUCUAGUGAUCACAAACCAAAUAGAAAAGAUGAGCGGAAACGGAUUGAGAAUGCUGGAGGGGUUGUGACAUGGUCUGGGACAUGGAGGGUUGGUGGUGUACUAGCAAUGUCUCGGGCUUUUGGUAAUCGUUUCUUGAAGCGAUUCGUUGUUGCUGAGCCUGAGGUCCAGGAACAAGAAAUAGAUGAUGAUUUGGAGUUUCUGAUUUUGGCUAGUGAUGGGCUGUGGGAUGUGGUGUCCAAUGAGCAUGCCGUUGCAUUUGUAAAGGCGGAGGAGGGCCCUGAGGCCGCAGCCCGGAAGCUGGCAGAGAUUGCUUUUGCCCGUGGAAGCACCGACAAUAUAACAUGCAUCGUUGUAAAAUUUCUCCAUGCUAAGAUGGCCGUAGAUGCUGCCUCGUCUAGUGAGCGAAGUUGAUUUCUUCUGUUCUAUUUCUCUUGUUCAUUUUAUCAUCUUAAUCUGGAGUGCUGGCAUCAAUCACGGUGCAACCUUAACUAUUGGGCGUUUAUAUAUUUGUUUGUUCAUUGACCU